Molecule: ribosomal RNA, 572 nt
Filed under: uncultured bacterium
Lineage: Bacteria
Description: partial 16S ribosomal RNA
Rfam family: Bacterial small subunit ribosomal RNA
Source: RNAcentral
UGGGGAAUAUUGCACAAUGGGCGCAAGCCUGAUGCAGCCAUGCCGCGUGUGUGAAGAAGGCCUUCGGGUUGUAAAGCACUUUCAGCGAGGAGGAAGGUGGUGAGCUUAAUACGCUCAUCAAUUGACGUUACUCGCAGAAGAAGCACCGGCUAACUCCGUGCCAGCAGCCGCGGUAAUACGGAGGGUGCAAGCGUUAAUCGGAAUUACUGGGCGUAAAGCGCACGCAGGCGGUUUGUUAAGUCAGAUGUGAAAUCCCCGGGCUCAACCUGGGAACUGCAUUUGAAACUGGCAAGCUAGAGUCUCGUAGAGGGGGGUAGAAUUCCAGGUGUAGCGGUGAAAUGCGUAGAGAUCUGGAGGAAUACCGGUGGCGAAGGCGGCCCCCCUGGACGAAGACUGACGCUCAGGUGCGAAAGCGUGGGGCAGCAAACAGGAUUAGAUACCCUGGUAGUCCAGCGCUGUAAAACGAUGUCGAUUUGGAGGUUGUGCCCUUGAGGCGUGGCUUCCGGAGCUAACGCGUUAAAUCGACCGCCUGGGGGAGUACGGCCGCAAGGUUAAAACUCAAAUGAAUUGAC